This 341-nucleotide RNase P RNA is filed under the name Robiginitalea sp. Its description in RNAcentral is "RNase P RNA component class A". It matches the Rfam family "Bacterial RNase P class A". From Rfam's summary of the family: Ribonuclease P (RNase P) is a ubiquitous endoribonuclease, found in archaea, bacteria and eukarya as well as chloroplasts and mitochondria. Its best characterised activity is the generation of mature 5'-ends of tRNAs by cleaving the 5'-leader elements of precursor-tRNAs. Lineage: Bacteria; Pseudomonadati; Bacteroidota; Flavobacteriia; Flavobacteriales; Flavobacteriaceae. The record is from RNAcentral.
AAGAGCAGGUGGCUUAUCGCUCCCGGCCUCACGGUUGGGGGAGGAAAGUCCGGACACCAUAGUGCAGCAUAGCGGGUAACGCCCGUCAUCCUGAAGUGAAGCCCGCUUCUACUUCAGGGGAGGACCAGUGCAACAGAAAGGAUGUACAGUUAGGCUGUAGUGAAAUCAGGUAAACUCUAUGCGGUGAAACGCCAAAUAAGCCAACGCCUGAGGGCGGCACGUCCAAGUUGGCGGGUAGGCGGAUAGAACCUUGGGGUAACCCCGGGUCCAGAUAAAUGAUAAGCCUCGGCAGACUUACGUUUGCUGAAGUACAGAAUCCGGCUUAUAGCCUGCUCUUUAUU